RNAcentral lists this ribosomal RNA (624 nucleotides) under Rhamnus crenulata. RNAcentral describes it as "eukaryotic LSU rRNA". Lineage: Eukaryota; Viridiplantae; Streptophyta; Magnoliopsida; Rosales; Rhamnaceae. The record is from RNAcentral.
AGGUUUCCGUAGGUGAACCUGCGGAAGGAUCAUUGUCGAUACCCUGCACAGCAGAACGACCCGUGAACUAGUAAAUCCAACUCGGGGGCGAGGGGCCCUAGAGCCCCGAACCUCCUUGGCCUGGGGGGCACCAUCGCCGAGCGGCGCUGGUCGACGCUCGUUGGUGCCGCCCUCCAAGCCGCACAAACGAACCCCGGCGCAAAACGCGCCAAGGAACUUCAACGAAUCAGCAUGCCCCGGCGGCCCAGAAAUGGUGCGUGUCCGGGACGUUGCGUCGUAUUCUUUAUGUCAAAACGACUCUCGGCAACGGAUAUCUCGGCUCUCGCAUCGAUGAAGAACGUAGCGAAAUGCGAUACUUGGUGUGAAUUGCAGAAUCCCGUGAACCAUCGAGUCUUUGAACGCAAGUUGCGCCCGAAGCCAUUAGGCCGAGGGCACGUCUGCCUGGGCGUCACACAACGUUGCCCCCCCCUMGACUUCCAAGAGGACGGGGGGCGGAUGCUGGCCUCCCGUGUGCCACGGCUCGCGGUUGGCCUAAAGACGAGUACUCGGCGACGAGCGCCGCGGCAAUCGGUGGUUGUCCAACCCUCGGUGCCAUGCUGCGUGCGCGAUCCGCUCACUGUUACU